UCUGGUGUGGAGGGAUGUGGGCAAUGGCACCAUGGCAGUGCUGCACUAUAGAGAAGGAUAUUCAUUUCACUCCGUCUUGGUUGCUUCGAUUCAGGUGAAAAGUUCUCUCUUUUACGUUUUCUAUUUGGCGUUCUUUCUUGGCUAGAAACCUUGAAACAUUGGGAAAAGUUUGGGACGUCGGGGCCUCGGAAUUUCGUGGAGAAAGAAAAUCUGGGUUCGCUCUUUUUGGGUGUCAAAGGAAGCUGUCAAUUGAAAUGUGCCGCUAUCAACCAUGGGAAGAUGCUCCACCCCAGGGUGAAGAUUUUCCACAAAGAACAGGAAAUGGCAUAGAGCAUAUGGAGGCAAGAUGGGAAACCCGGAUGGCAAUGUUAGAGGCUCGAAUAGCAAGAGUCGAGGCUCGGGUGGAAAAACUUGAGACAACAAUGCUGCAAAUGCGAAGGGGGAUGCGUGCUGUAUGCUUACUGCUUUUGGUUGCUGUGGUGUAUUCUAUAUGCAAAUAGAUACUGUGAUGAUUGGACUCAUUAUUCAUUACUGUAUUUCUCGCAUAUGAAAUGUAUAAUAGGUAUUUGAUGCAUAUAUAGACUGAAGAAUCUUCAUGCAAGGAUGUCUAUACAAAAAGAAUCUUAAUGUAAAGAUGUAUGUUUAGAAAAA
Molecule: long non-coding RNA, 651 nt
Organism: Juglans regia (Persian walnut)
Lineage: Eukaryota; Viridiplantae; Streptophyta; Magnoliopsida; Fagales; Juglandaceae
Exons: 2
Source: RefSeq, a predicted model, not a curated record